This 466-nucleotide ribosomal RNA is filed under the name uncultured bacterium. Its description in RNAcentral is "partial 16S ribosomal RNA". It matches the Rfam family "Bacterial small subunit ribosomal RNA", at positions 28 to 507 of the family's 1533-position model. The record is from RNAcentral.
GAUGAACGCUGGCGGCGUGCUUAACACAUGCAAGUCGAACGGAAAGGCUCCUGCUUGCAGGGGCACUCGAGUGGCGAACGGGUGAGUAACACGUGGGUGAUCUGCCCUGCACUUCGGGAUAAGCCUGGGAAACUGGGUCUAAUACCGGAUAGGACCAUCGUUUAGUGCCGGUGGUGGAAAGUUUUUUCGGUGUGGGAUGAGCUCGCGGCCUAUCAGCUUGUUGGUGGGGUAAUGGCCUACCAAGGCGUCGACGGGUAGCCGGCCUGAGAGGGUGUACGGCCACAUUGGGACUGAGAUACGGCCCAGACUCCUACGGGAGGCAGCAGUGGGGAAUAUUGCACAAUGGGCGCAAGCCUGAUGCAGCGACGCCGCGUGGGGGAUGACGGCCUUCGGGUUGUAAACUCCUUUCGCCAGGGACGAAGCGAAAGUGACGGUACCUGGAUAAGAAGCACCGGCUAACUACGUG